CCUACGGGUGGCAGCAGUGGGGAAUAUUGGACAAUGGGCGAAAGCCUGAUCCAGCCAUGCCGCGUGUGUGAAGAAGGCCUUCGGGUUGUAAAGCACUUUCAGUGGGGAAGAAAGCCUUGGGGCUAAUACCCUCGAGGAAGGACAUCACCCACAGAAGAAGCACCGGCUAACUCCGUGCCAGCAGCCGCGGUAAUACGGAGGGUGCGAGCGUUAAUCGGAAUUACUGGGCGUAAAGCGCGCGUAGGCGGUCUGAUAAGCCGGUUGUGAAAGCCCCGGGCUCAACCUGGGAACGGCAUCCGGAACUGUCAGGCUAGAGUGCAGGAGAAGAAGGUAGAAUUCCCGGUGUAGCGGUGAAAUGCGUAGAGAUCGGGAGGAAUACCAGUGGCGAAGGCGGCCUUCUGGACUGACACUGACGCUGAGGUGCGAAAGCGUGGGUAGCAAACAGGAUUAGAUACCCCAGUAGUC
RNAcentral lists this ribosomal RNA (465 nucleotides) under Vreelandella stevensii. RNAcentral describes it as "partial 16S ribosomal RNA". It matches the Rfam family "Bacterial small subunit ribosomal RNA", at positions 338 to 795 of the family's 1533-position model. The record is from RNAcentral. Lineage: Bacteria; Pseudomonadati; Pseudomonadota; Gammaproteobacteria; Oceanospirillales; Halomonadaceae.